CCCCCAACAGCCUGUCCUUCACGCUGCUGGUGGCUCUUGCACCUCAUUGCGGAGCACCAACCGCGGAGCAAGACACCAGCAUUGUCUGCGGAGCGAUAACGGGCUGUGUUUCCAAUAUCACUGCCCACUGGCCCUGACAGAUACGGCGGUGGUUCCUGCCAGGAAAUCCCCUCUGCCUCAUGGAAAACCCAGAGGAGGAAGUGGAGCCCCGAGGACUGUUCAGGCUCCACCCCAAGUUGUCAGAGUGAAACCAUCCUAUCUUCUCGGGCCCGGCAGCCCAUGGGCUCUGCACACACUUGCAGGGACCUGGGAGCCUGCGACAAGAAACACACACACCACCGAGGCCUCAUGUGGUUGCCUCCGCGCCGUGUUUUACCAGAUCUGAGCUGGUUUGGAGUCGAACUACCACUUGAUAAAGCCUGCAGAGGAAGAGCUGUUGCUACCUCCGUUUUGCAAACGAGAAAACCAGGGCCGAGAGCUCUGCCAGAGAUCUAACAAGAUGUGAUCAAGAAUGGGCAGAGCUGCUCAGACAUCCCCAAGCAUCAGGAGAACCUCGCUGGCUCUGCUGGGCGAUGAUGCCCUGGAGAGCCUGGGAGCUCCUUCCUCGACGUGCAUCUGUGAGCAAGUGCUGGACACUUUUUACCCACUUCUACUGUCUCUUGUGGCUGCUGGAACGAGUGACUGCAAACCUGGUGGCUCUGUCCUCGCAGAUCUGGAGGCCAGGUGUCUGUGGGCAGGCGGGGCUGGUCCCCGGCGGGAGGCUCCGGGGAGAGUCUCCUCCUCGCCUCUCGGGGUGCUGGUGGCUGUCAGCGUCCUCGGCACACCUGGCUUGUAGCAGCAACCCUCCCAUCCCUGGCCUUCCCCCCUCUGUCCAGGGUCUGUUUCCCAGAGAAAAAUUCACACAUCGUUAAGAGUUCAACACAUAAAUUUGGGGGACACAAAAUGCAGCCCGUAACACUCAUUAUUUCCAAUAAAACAAGGCUCUUUAGACCCACCUUCGGAAAUGAUUCCCAAACUACAGAACCGUUGAACUUCAGAAAUGGGAGGAACAUCAACGUCCAUCCAGCCCAGGACCCGCGGGAUGGGUGAGACUCCUCCACGGUCCUUCCCAGAUGUCUCCCGAGCAUCUUUGGGAACGCCUCUGUCCCCCGUCUCCCGAGGCAGCCCCAGACCCCUCGGGUGGCCCUGCGGUCCGGGAGCGUCGUCCUGCUGAGCUGCCGUCCGGCUCCCCGCCCCACCU
Non-coding RNA from Kogia breviceps (pygmy sperm whale), 1240 nucleotides. The record is from RefSeq and is a predicted model, not a curated record. Lineage: Eukaryota; Metazoa; Chordata; Mammalia; Artiodactyla; Physeteridae.